Molecule: ribosomal RNA, 1280 nt
Filed under: Acinetobacter sp.
Lineage: Bacteria; Pseudomonadati; Pseudomonadota; Gammaproteobacteria; Moraxellales; Moraxellaceae
Description: bacterial SSU rRNA
Rfam family: Bacterial small subunit ribosomal RNA
Source: RNAcentral
AUGGAAUCUUAACGGCGGAACGGGUGAGUAAUGCUUAGGAAUCUGCCUAUUAGUGGGGGACAACAUUUCGAAAGGAAUGCUAAUACCGCAUACGUCCUACGGGAGAAAGCAGGGGAUCUUCGGACCUUGCGCUAAUAGAUGAGCCUAAGUCGGAUUAGCUAGUUGGUGGGGUAAAGGCCUACCAAGGCGACGAUCUGUAGCGGGUCUGAGAGGAUGAUCCGCCACACUGGGACUGAGACACGGCCCAGACUCCUACGGGAGGCAGCAGUGGGGAAUAUUGGACAAUGGGCGCAAGCCUGAUCCAGCCAUGCCGCGUGUGUGAAGAAGGCCUUAUGGUUGUAAAGCACUUUAAGCGAGGAGGAGGCUACUUUAGUUAAUACCUAGAGAUAGUGGACGUUACUCGCAGAAUAAGCACCGGCUAACUCUGUGCCAGCAGCCGCGGUAAUACAGAGGGUGCAAGCGUUAAUCGGAUUUACUGGGCGUAAAGCGCGCGUAGGCGGCUAAUUAAGUCAAAUGUGAAAUCCCCGAGCUUAACUUGGGAAUUGCAUUCGAUACUGGUUAGCUAGAGUGUGGGAGAGGAUGGUAGAAUUCCAGGUGUAGCGGUGAAAUGCGUAGAGAUCUGGAGGAAUACCGAUGGCGAAGGCAGCCAUCUGGCCUAACACUGACGCUGAGGUGCGAAAGCAUGGGGAGCAAACAGGAUUAGAUACCCUGGUAGUCCAUGCCGUAAACGAUGUCUACUAGCCGUUGGGGCCUUUGAGGCUUUAGUGGCGCAGCUAACGCGAUAAGUAGACCGCCUGGGGAGUACGGUCGCAAGACUAAAACUCAAAUGAAUUGACGGGGGCCCGCACAAGCGGUGGAGCAUGUGGUUUAAUUCGAUGCAACGCGAAGAACCUUACCUGGCCUUGACAUAGUAAGAACUUUCCAGAGAUGGAUUGGUGCCUUCGGGAACUUACAUACAGGUGCUGCAUGGCUGUCGUCAGCUCGUGUCGUGAGAUGUUGGGUUAAGUCCCGCAACGAGCGCAACCCUUUUCCUUAUUUGCCAGCGAGUAAUGUCGGGAACUUUAAGGAUACUGCCAGUGACAAACUGGAGGAAGGCGGGGACGACGUCAAGUCAUCAUGGCCCUUACGGCCAGGGCUACACACGUGCUACAAUGGUCGGUACAAAGGGUUGCUACCUAGCGAUAGGAUGCUAAUCUCAAAAAGCCGAUCGUAGUCCGGAUUGGAGUCUGCAACUCGACUCCAUGAAGUCGGAAUCGCUAGUUAAUCGGCGGGGAUUCCCG